Molecule: long non-coding RNA, 768 nt
Filed under: Heterocephalus glaber (naked mole-rat)
Lineage: Eukaryota; Metazoa; Chordata; Mammalia; Rodentia; Bathyergidae
Description: lncRNA (ENSHGLG00000045882.1)
Source: RNAcentral
GCUGAUUGAACCAUUAGUUGUUCUCCCUUUUCAUUACAGUGGCCGGGUCUGGCUGUUAGGCUGACUAGAUUGAAGAUGUAUAUAAAUACCAAAAUGUAACCAAAGCCAACACCAUAUCAUUGGAAGCAUAGACUAACUAAUGAGACCUCCAUACUAGUCAGUUUUUCCACUAUAGAUUCCAAACCCUCAGUGCAGAUAAAGGAAACAUUAAGAAACAAGGCAACAAGAUACCUCCAAAAAUUCUAAACACUGUAAAAGCUGAUCUCACGGGUACUGAUGGACAGCAAGCUGUGGCAACUAGCAAUAGAUAACUGGUACUUGGUAACUAGCUGUGGGUAACUAGUUGUGAGCACCAGUUACAGAUGAUGGCACUGUCCCUUGCCAAAGACUGUUCCAGCCACUAGAAACCAGGAACCCAACCAGAUGCACUAAAGCCCCUGCCCCGGGGGAGCCUGCAGUCCAACAGCAACCACCAAAGGAGCAAGUUAAGCUGCCUAAGGAAAUUUGUCUGAGGAUGAAGCCAGCAACUGAAAACAAAUUAGAGAUGGAGGGACCGAGUCCGGGAUGUUGCUUGAGCCCUGUGUGCAGGACUGCGGAAGCCAGCUCUAGCCCCUUUGCAAGUCUUGCUUAUUGACUCUUGCUCUUAUGCCAGGGUGAGUUUGGGUGGGAUUUCCACCCAAAGAAACCUUAAAGGACUGUGGCCUGCUGAAUGCCAGCUGGAGACAGGUUUUGUUGGUCCACACAGGAUUAAAAUUUUGAGGCAACACG